Molecule: transfer RNA, 73 nt
Rfam family: tRNA
About the family: Transfer RNA (tRNA) molecules are approximately 80 nucleotides in length. Their secondary structure includes four short double-helical elements and three loops (D, anti-codon, and T loops). Further hydrogen bonds mediate the characteristic L-shaped molecular structure. tRNAs have two regions of fundamental functional importance: the anti-codon, which is responsible for specific mRNA codon recognition, and the 3' end, to which the tRNAs corresponding amino acid is attached (by aminoacyl-tRNA synthetases). tRNAs cope with the degeneracy of the genetic code in two manners: having more than one tRNA (with a specific anti-codon) for a particular amino acid; and 'wobble' base-pairing, i.e. permitting non-standard base-pairing at the 3rd anti-codon position.
GGGGGUGUAGCUCAGUUGGGAGAGCGCUUGAAUCGCACUCAAGAGGUCGGGAGUUCGACUCUCCCCAUCUCCA